RNAcentral lists this transfer RNA (75 nucleotides) under Microgenomates group bacterium ADurb.Bin219. RNAcentral describes it as "tRNA-Val". It matches the Rfam family "tRNA". From Rfam's summary of the family: Transfer RNA (tRNA) molecules are approximately 80 nucleotides in length. Their secondary structure includes four short double-helical elements and three loops (D, anti-codon, and T loops). Further hydrogen bonds mediate the characteristic L-shaped molecular structure. tRNAs have two regions of fundamental functional importance: the anti-codon, which is responsible for specific mRNA codon recognition, and the 3' end, to which the tRNAs corresponding amino acid is attached (by aminoacyl-tRNA synthetases). tRNAs cope with the degeneracy of the genetic code in two manners: having more than one tRNA (with a specific anti-codon) for a particular amino acid; and 'wobble' base-pairing, i.e. permitting non-standard base-pairing at the 3rd anti-codon position. The record is from RNAcentral.
GGGCGGUUAGCUCAGUUGGUUAGAGCGUCGCAUUGACAUUGCGAAGGUCAGAGGUUCGACUCCUCUAUCGCCCAC